GCGCACGCUGGCGGCAUGCCUAACACAUGCAAGUCGCACGGGGGGGCUUCGGCCUCCCAGUGGCGGACGGGUGAGGAACGCGUAGGGACCUGUCGAGGGGUGGGGGAUAACCGCGGGAAACUGCGGCUAAUACCGCAUGACGCCGCGGCGUGACAGCCGGGGCCAAAGGCGAAAGCCGCCCGCCGAGGGGCCUGCGUCCGAUUAGCUGGUUGGCGGGGUAGCGGCCCACCAAGGCGUCGAUCGGUAGCUGGUCUGAGAGGGUGAUCAGCCACACCGGGACUGAGACACGGCCCGGACUCCUACGGGAGGCAGCAGUGGGGAAUAUUGGACAAUGGGCGCAAGCCUGAUCCAGCAAUGCCGCGUGGGUGAAGAAGGUCUUCGGAUUGUAAAGCCCUUUCGGCGGGGACGAUGGUGACGGUACCCGCAGAAGAAGCCCCGGCUAACUUCGUG
RNAcentral lists this ribosomal RNA (450 nucleotides) under uncultured bacterium. Its description in RNAcentral is "partial 16S ribosomal RNA". It matches the Rfam family "Bacterial small subunit ribosomal RNA", at positions 33 to 507 of the family's 1533-position model. The record is from RNAcentral.